Molecule: ribosomal RNA, 502 nt
Filed under: uncultured bacterium
Lineage: Bacteria
Description: bacterial SSU rRNA
Rfam family: Bacterial small subunit ribosomal RNA
Source: RNAcentral
AACGAACGCUGGCGGCGCGCCUAAUACAUGCAAGUCGAGCGAGAAGGUGUAGCAAUACACUUGUAAAGCGGCGAACGGGUGAGGAAUACAUGGGUAACCUACCCUCGAGUGGGGAAUAACUAGCCGAAAGGUUAGCUAAUACCGCGUACGCUUCCGGGACUGCGGUUCCGGAAGGAAAGCGAUACUGUGAGUAUCGCGCUCUUGGAUGGGCUCAUGUCCUAUCAGCUUGUUGGUGAGGUAACGGCUCACCAAGGCUUCGACGGGUAGCUGGCCUGAGAGGACGAUCAGCCACACUGGCACUGCGACACGGGCCAGACUCCUACGGGAGGCAGCAGUAAGGAAUAUUGCGCAAUGGACGACAGUCUGACGCAGCGACGCCGCGUGGGGGACGAAGGUCUUCGGAUUGUAAACCCCUUUCGGAGGGAAGAUGGAAUGGGUAACCUAUUCGGACGGUACCUCCAGAAGCAGCCACGGCUAACUUCGUGCCAGCAGCCGCCGCCGU